Molecule: small RNA, 107 nt
Filed under: Marmota monax (woodchuck)
Lineage: Eukaryota; Metazoa; Chordata; Mammalia; Rodentia; Sciuridae
Source: RNAcentral
GCAGGGCAUGGUGGCGCACGCCUGUCAUCCCAGCGCUCAGGAGGCUGAGACAGGAGGAUCCAGAGUUCAAAGCCAGCCCUCAGCAACUCAGGGAGACCCUGUCUCAA